This 103-nucleotide microRNA precursor is filed under the name Marmota monax (woodchuck). Lineage: Eukaryota; Metazoa; Chordata; Mammalia; Rodentia; Sciuridae. The record is from RNAcentral.
AGUGAGAUGGCUGGGUCAAAUGUUGGUUCCAUUCCAAGUUUUCUAAGCAGUCUCCAUACUGCUUUCCAGAUUGACUGCACCAAUUUGCAGUUCCAUCAGCAAU